This 497-nucleotide ribosomal RNA is filed under the name uncultured bacterium. RNAcentral describes it as "partial 16S ribosomal RNA". It matches the Rfam family "Bacterial small subunit ribosomal RNA", at positions 28 to 507 of the family's 1533-position model. The record is from RNAcentral.
GACGAACGCUGGCGGCGUGCCUAAUACAUGCAAGUUGAGCGCUGAAGGUUGGUACUUGUACCAACUGGAUGAGCAGCGAACGGGUGAGUAACGCGUGGGGAAUCUGCCUUUGAGCGGGGGGCAACAUUUGGAAACGAAUGCUAAUACCGCAUAAAAACUUUAAACACAAGUUUUAAGUUUGAAAGAUGCAAUUGCAUCACUCAAAGAUGAUCCCGCGUUGUAUUAGCUAGUCGGUGAGGUAAAGGCUCACCAAGGCGAUGAUACAUAGCCGACCUGAGAGGGUGAUCGGCCACAUUGGGACUGAGACACGGCCCAAACUCCUACGGGAGGCAGCAGUAGGGAAUCUUCGGCAAUGGACGAAAGUCUGACCGAGCAACGCCGCGUGAGUGAAGAAGGGUUUCGGAUCGUAAAACUCUGUUGGUAGAGAAGAACGUUGGUGAGAGUGGAAAGCUCAUCAAGUGACGGUAACUACCCAGAAAGGGACGGCUAACUACGUG